RNAcentral lists this ribosomal RNA (288 nucleotides) under uncultured bacterium. Its description in RNAcentral is "partial 16S ribosomal RNA". It matches the Rfam family "Bacterial small subunit ribosomal RNA", at positions 338 to 643 of the family's 1533-position model. The record is from RNAcentral.
CCUACGGGGGGCAGCAGUGGGGAAUAUUGCACAAUGGGGGAAACCCUGAUGCAGCGACGCCGCGUGAGUGAAGAAGUAUCUCGGUACGUAAAGCUCUAUCAGCAGGGAAGAAAAUGACGGUACCUGACUAAGAAGCCCCGGCUAACUACGUGCCAGCAGCCGCGGUAAUACGUAGGGGGCAAGCGUUAUCCGGAUUUACUGGGUGUAAAGGGAGCGUAGACGGUGUGGCAAGUCUGAAGUGAAAGCCCGGGGCUCAACCCCGGGACUGCUGUGGAAACUGUCAUGCUG